GAGGGCGUAGCUCAGUGGUCGAGUGCAUGCUUAGCAUGCACGAGGGUCUGGGUUCCAUCCCCAGGACCUCU
Molecule: transfer RNA, 71 nt
Filed under: Camelus bactrianus (Bactrian camel)
Lineage: Eukaryota; Metazoa; Chordata; Mammalia; Artiodactyla; Camelidae
Also listed under: 1 other name
Rfam family: tRNA
About the family: Transfer RNA (tRNA) molecules are approximately 80 nucleotides in length.
Source: Rfam by way of RNAcentral